UACGUAGGGUGCGAGCGUUGUCCGGAAUUAUUGGGCGUAAAGAGCUCGUAGGCGGUCUGUCGCGUCGGCUGUGAAAUCCCGAGGCUCAACCUCGGGUCUGCAGUCGAUACGGGCAAACUUGAGUGUUGCAGGGGAGACUGGAAUUCCUGGUGUAGCGGUGAAAUGCGCAGAUAUCAGGAGGAACACCGGUGGCGAAGGCGGGUCUCUGGGCAACAACUGACGCUGAGGAGCGAAAGCGUGGGGAGCGAACAGG
Molecule: ribosomal RNA, 253 nt
Filed under: uncultured bacterium
Lineage: Bacteria
Description: partial 16S ribosomal RNA
Rfam family: Bacterial small subunit ribosomal RNA
Source: RNAcentral